Molecule: ribosomal RNA, 381 nt
Filed under: Hemitrichia serpula
Lineage: Eukaryota; Evosea; Eumycetozoa; Trichiida; Trichiidae
Description: partial small subunit ribosomal RNA
Rfam family: Bacterial small subunit ribosomal RNA
Source: RNAcentral
GCGUAGGGUAAGUAGGCUGUGAAAAACGAAGAAAUUAAAAUACUAGAUAGUAAUCUUUAAAGUUUUCUUAACGAUUUCACUGGAAUUUUAAGCGAGACGAUGGUAUUUUUAAGGAAUGGUUGAAUAUGAGAUAUAAAAAGAACGACGAUGGUGAAAGCGAUUGUCUUGUUGAAGAUUGAGCUAAAGGACGAAGGCAGGGGAGCAAAGAGGGUUAGAGAACCUCGUAGUCCGUGUAUCAACGCUGAGUUUUCAAUGUAGGAGUUGCGAAAAUAAUUAUUUAAUAAUUUAAACGUUUUGGUGUUUGAGUAACGCAUUAAAUUCUCCGCUGGGAAGUAUGGUCGCAGGCUGAAACUCAAAAGAAUUGAGGUGACUUGUACAAGG